Molecule: ribosomal RNA, 402 nt
Filed under: Verrucomicrobiota bacterium
Lineage: Bacteria; Pseudomonadati; Verrucomicrobiota
Description: Verrucomicrobia bacterium partial 16S ribosomal RNA
Rfam family: Bacterial small subunit ribosomal RNA
Source: RNAcentral
UGGGGAAUUUUGCACAAUGGGGGAAACCCUGAUGCAGCGACGCCGCGUGAUUUAGAAGGCCUUCGGGUUGUAAAAAUCUUUUCUAUGGGAAGAAAAUGACAGUACCAUAGGAAUAAGGACCGGCUAAUUACGUGCCAGCAGCCGCGGUAAUACGUAAGGUCCGAGCGUUGUCCGGAAUCAUUGGGCGUAAAGGGUACGUAGGCGGGUAAGCAAGUUAGAAGUGAAAUCCUGUAGCUCAACUACAGUAAGCUUUUAAAACUGCUCAUCUUGAGAUAUGGAAGGGAAAGUGGAAUUCCUAGGGUAGCGGUGAAAUGCGCAGAUAUUAGGAGGAAUACCGGUGGCGAAGGCGACUUUCUGGCCAUAAUCUGACGCUGGGGUACGAAAGCGUGGGUAGCAAACAGG